AUACGUAGGUGGCAAGCGUUAUCCGGAUUUAUUGGGUUUAAAGGGUGCGUAGGCGGUUUGCUAAGCGGGAGGUGAAAUGCCGGCGCUCAACGUCGGAAGUGCCUCCCGAACUGGUGGACUUGAAUGACUCUGCCGUGGGAGGAAUGUGUAGUGUAGCGGUGAAAUGCUUAGAGAUUACACAGAACACCGAUUGCGAAGGCAUCUCACGAAGGGUUGAUUGACGCUGAGGCACGAAAGCGUGGGGAUCAAACAGGAUUAGAUACCCUGGUAGUCCACGCAGUAAACGAUGAUGGCUAACCGCUGGGCUUAUCAGUUCAGUGGCCAAGCGAAAGCGAUAAGCCAUCCACCUGGGGAGUACGACCGCAAGGUUGAAACUUAAAGGAAUUGACGGGG
This 393-nucleotide ribosomal RNA is filed under the name uncultured bacterium. RNAcentral describes it as "partial 16S ribosomal RNA". It matches the Rfam family "Bacterial small subunit ribosomal RNA", at positions 523 to 918 of the family's 1533-position model. The record is from RNAcentral.